Molecule: ribosomal RNA, 620 nt
Filed under: uncultured Micromonospora sp.
Lineage: Bacteria; Bacillati; Actinomycetota; Actinomycetes; Micromonosporales; Micromonosporaceae
Description: bacterial SSU rRNA
Rfam family: Bacterial small subunit ribosomal RNA
Source: RNAcentral
UCUUUCAGCAGGGACGAAGCGUAAGUGACGGUACCUGCAGAAGAAGCGCCGGCCAACUACGUGCCAGCAGCCGCGGUAAGACGUAGGGCGCGAGCGUUGUCCGGAUUUAUUGGGCGUAAAGAGCUCGUAGGCGGCUUGUCGCGUCGACCGUGAAAACUUGGGGCUCAACCCCAAGCCUGCGGUCGAUACGGGCAGGCUAGAGUUCGGUAGGGGAGACUGGAAUUCCUGGUGUAGCGGUGAAAUGCGCAGAUAUCAGGAGGAACACCGGUGGCGAAGGCGGGUCUCUGGGCCGAUACUGACGCUGAGGAGCGAAAGCGUGGGGAGCGAACAGGAUUAGAUACCCUGGUAGUCCACGCUGUAAACGUUGGGCGCUAGGUGUGGGGGGCCUCUCCGGUUCUCUGUGCCGCAGCUAACGCAUUAAGCGCCCCGCCUGGGGAGUACGGCCGCAAGGCUAAAACUCAGAGGAAUUGACGGGGGCCCGCACAAGCGGCGGAGCAUGCGGAUUAAUUCGAUGCAACGCGAAGAACCUUACCUGGGUUUGACAUGGCCGCAAAACUCGCAGAGAUGUGAGGUCCUUCGGGGGCGGUCACAGGUGGUGCAUGGCUGUCGUCAGCUCGUGU